GCCAUUUGUCAUUAUUAUUUAUUAGUGAUAUUAUUUUAAUUUGAAUGGGUAGACGUAUCGUCCAUCGGUAAAACGGAAUAUCUUAACUCAAUUAAUCAUAUUAUCGAUUAGGUCAUAACGUGUGAAUAUUCAGAUUAUUCAGAAUCGAAACGGUAUUCAAUGUUUUCAACAGGGUAAUGCGAUUAUUAUACUAAUAAAUAAUAAUCAUCUCUGUCCAAACGCAGUGGGUAUCCGUUUAUCAUACCUAAACACAAUAUAUUAGGUAUAGGUAUUAUUACGACGUAUCCUAUCAUUUUAUCAUCAUUGCCAUUUGUCACCAUACAAACAUUUCAACCGAAAUAGUCUAUACCGGCAAUGUGUUAUUAUUAAUUAUAACAUACAUUGUACUACAGCAAAUAAAAUUGAAAUAUUACUAUUUUUAAACAGAGCAUCAUCAGAAGUAUUCGCGUUCAUCAUUAACGACAAUUAUCCAUAAAACGGUUCUACGGACUUCCGCAGAAAUCCAUGUCAGAAGUGAGUGGUUAUUUUAUUUUUUAUUAUAUCCGCAAUAUUGUCCAGGAUAGUUAUUUAAGUUAUCGAAAAAAAAAAAAAAAAAAAAACAUCAAUAUUUUAUACAAUAUGUCCUCGGCUUCCAACCCCUACGGUUUUCCCCCCAAAUUAUAAUAAUCAUAUUGUGUAUAUUACCAAGUAUUAGGGACAGUAAUUUUUUACUAUUUAAUAAUUAAACUAGUUUUUUUUCGUGUAAAACCAACGCAACCAGAAAUCAAUAAAAUAACCCACAAUUCAAGUAUGAUGAACAGUGAAUACCACAUCAGAUAAAAUUUGAAUUUCUUUUAAAUUUAAUUUCAGUGUCUAUCAUAAAGACAUUUAUUUACAUUUGUUUGCCUCAGUUCAUAUUAUCACUAAAUUAUUUUGUAUUUAUG
Non-coding RNA from Cinara cedri, 923 nucleotides. The record is from the annotation of a GenBank genome assembly. NCBI's taxonomy places the organism in Eukaryota, Metazoa, Arthropoda, Insecta, Hemiptera, Aphididae.